AUUGCUCUGGAGUACAGGUAAGAGUUUGUUGGGGUACCUGACUAUUUAAAAAAAAUAUAACGCCGGGUUCUGACGCAGUGUGCACGCCUUCCGGACUGAAGGAAACCUGAAGCGUUAUCCCGGUCAAUGUUGCUAAAAAGGUCAGUAACUCUCGCGGCCAUACGGUAUCCUGGAGCAAUA
This 180-nucleotide non-coding RNA is filed under the name Geobacter sp. Its description in RNAcentral is "6S RNA". It matches the Rfam family "6S / SsrS RNA". From Rfam's summary of the family: E. coli 6S RNA was the first non coding RNA to be sequenced, but its function was unknown until recently. It consists of 184 nucleotides that fold into an extended hairpin structure with a large single-stranded internal bulge. The 6S RNA specifically associates with RNA polymerase holoenzyme containing the sigma70 specificity factor. Lineage: Bacteria; Pseudomonadati; Thermodesulfobacteriota; Desulfuromonadia; Geobacterales; Geobacteraceae. The record is from RNAcentral.